CCUGCACUGGACUUGACACCACUUAUUUGUUUCCUGAUGUGUUGGGGUCACUCCCACUGGAAUGGAAUAAAAAGGAAAG
This is a non-coding RNA of Ceratotherium simum simum (southern white rhinoceros), 79 nucleotides long. Lineage: Eukaryota; Metazoa; Chordata; Mammalia; Perissodactyla; Rhinocerotidae. The record is from RefSeq and is a predicted model, not a curated record.